UAUCAUUUCACUUCAUAUCACAACAAAUGAAAUCAGAAAUGAAGCGUUCAAUUCCCGCAGCUCUUCUCCUUAUGCUUAUCAUCUGUUCAUUUAUUUGCGCAGAAAGCCAAAAUAUGAAGGUGGGAGGUAGAUGUGACGAAGAACUCCCUUCAAAUGGAGAAUUGUGUAAUGAAUAUAAAUGUCAAAUGGAUUGUCGAAGACAACGUGGAUUAAGUGGCACAGGACGUUGUAAUACGAUAAGACAAGUUUGUGGGUGUCGAUACAAUUGUUGAAUGAAUAAAAACGUGCGUAUAUAAUAUCCUUAAAAUGUUAUAAAGGGAUAUUGUUACCAAAGCCACUUUUUAUUACAUUUCAUUCUAAUAAAAUUGAUCUUGUUAAGUUGUGCCCUAA
This is a long non-coding RNA of Salvia hispanica, 390 nucleotides long. RefSeq lists it as uncharacterized. Lineage: Eukaryota; Viridiplantae; Streptophyta; Magnoliopsida; Lamiales; Lamiaceae. The record is from RefSeq and is a predicted model, not a curated record.